GACGAACCGUACGAACGUUAUUCGGAAUCACUGGGCUUAAAGGGUGCGUAGGCGGCGCAGAAAGUUGGGUGUGAAAUCCCUCGGCUCAACCGAGGAACUGCGCCCAAAACUACUGUGCUCGAGGGAGACAGAGGUGAGCGGAACUUAGGGUGGAGCGGUGAAAUGCGUUGAUAUCCUAAGGAACACCGGUGGCGAAAGCGGCUCACUGGGUCUCUUCUGACGCUGAGGCACGAAAGCUGGGGGAGCAAACAGG
RNAcentral lists this ribosomal RNA (253 nucleotides) under uncultured bacterium. RNAcentral's name for it is "partial 16S ribosomal RNA". It matches the Rfam family "Bacterial small subunit ribosomal RNA", at positions 524 to 776 of the family's 1533-position model. The record is from RNAcentral.